ACUGCUCAGUAACACGUGGAUAACCUGCCCUUGGGUCCGGCAUAACCCCGGGAAACUGGGGAUAAUUCCGGAUAACGCACAUAUGCUGGAAUGCUUUUUGCGUAAAAUGGAUUCGUCUGCCCAAGGAUGGGUCUGCGGCCUAUCAGGUAGUAGUGGGUGUAAUGUACCUACUAGCCUACGACGGGUACGGGUUGUGAGAGCAAGAGCCCGGAGAUGGAUUCUGAGACAUGAAUCCAGGCCCUACGGGGCGCAGCAGGCGCGAAAACUUUACAAUGCGGGAAACCGUGAUAAGGGGACACCGAGUGCCAGCAUCCUAUGCUGGCUGUCCAGGUGUGCAAAAUACACCUGUUAGCAAGGGCCGGGCAAGACCGGUGCCAGCCGCCGCGGUAACACCGGCGGCCCGAGUGGUGAUCGUGAUUAUUGGGUCUAAAGGGUCCGUAGCCGGUUUGGUCAGUCCUCCGGGAAAUCUGACAGCUCAACUGUUAGGCUUUCGGAGGAUACUGCCAGACUUGGAACCGGGAGAGGUAAGAGGUACUACAGGGGUAGGAGUGAAAUCUUGUAAUCCCUGUGGGACCACCUGUGGCGAAGGCGUCUUACCAGAACGGGUUCGACGGUGAGGGACGAAGGCUGGGGGCACGAACCGGAUUAGAUACCCGGGUAGUCCCAGCCGUAAACGAUGCUCGCUAGGUGUCAGGCAUGGCGCGACCGUGUCUGGUGCCGCAGGGAAGCCGUGAAGCGAGCCACCUGGGAAGUACGGCCGCAAGGCUGAAACUUAAAGGAAUUGGCGGGGGAGCA
This 795-nucleotide ribosomal RNA is filed under the name uncultured archaeon. RNAcentral describes it as "bacterial SSU rRNA". It matches the Rfam family "Archaeal small subunit ribosomal RNA", at positions 85 to 878 of the family's 1478-position model. The record is from RNAcentral.